RNA transcript from Psammomys obesus (fat sand rat), 3466 nucleotides. It is a transcript of the gene named golgi associated, gamma adaptin ear containing, ARF binding protein 3, with no coding region annotated. NCBI's taxonomy places the organism in Eukaryota, Metazoa, Chordata, Mammalia, Rodentia, Muridae. The transcript is spliced from 18 exons. The record is from RefSeq and is a predicted model, not a curated record.
CUCGGCAUCCUACACAGUCUGGCGCGCCUGUUGACAGCAGCUGUCAGGCCCCCGUGCAGGCCCCGCCCCCGGCCGUCUCGCGCAGAAUCUCGCGAGGUUUGAGGGCGCUGGGCCGGACCGGGUGGCUGCAAUAUGGCGGAGGCGGAAGGGGAGAGCCUGGAGUCCUGGCUGAAUAAAGCUACCAACCCUUCCAACCGCCAGGAAGAUUGGGAAUAUAUCAUUGGCUUCUGUGAUCAGAUCAACAAAGAGCUUGAAGGGCCCCAGAUUGCUGUCCGACUCCUGGCCCACAAGAUCCAGUCUCCACAGGAAUGGGAGGCGGUCCAGGCCCUCACGGUGCUGGAGGCAUGUAUGAAGAACUGUGGGAGGAGAUUUCAUAAUGAAGUGGGGAAGUUCCGGUUUCUGAAUGAAUUAAUUAAAGUCGUCUCUCCGAAGUACUUGGGAGACAGGGUGUCUGAAAAGGUGAAGACUAAGGUCAUCGAGUUGCUUUUUAGCUGGACGCUGGCCUUGCCGGAAGAAGCAAAGAUCAAAGAUGCCUACCAUAUGUUGAAGAGACAAGGCAUAGUGCAGUCGGACCCCCCUAUUCCCAUGGAUAGAACGCUGAUCCCCUCUCCCCCACCUCGACCCAAAAACCCUGUUUUUGAUGAUGAGGAGAAAUCCAAGCUUUUAGCCAAGCUACUGAAAAGCAAGAACCCAGAAGACCUGCAAGAAGCCAACAAACUCAUCAAGUCCAUGGUGAAGGAAGAUGAGGCGCGCAUCCAGAAGGUCACCAAGCGCCUGCACACGCUGGAGGAGGUUAACAACAACGUGAAGCUGCUCCAUGAGAUGCUGCUUCACUACAGCCAGGAGUACUCCUCGGAGGCUGACAAAGAGCUCAUGAAGGAGCUCUUUGAUCGGUGUGAGAACAAGAGACGUACUUUAUUUAAACUAGCCAGUGAGACAGAAGACAAUGACAACAGUUUGGGGGACAUCCUGCAGGCCAGUGACAACCUCUCCAGGGUCAUCAACUCUUAUAAAGCAAUUAUUGAAGGGCAGAUCAUCAACGGUGAGGUGACCACCUCAACCAUGCCUGACUCUGAAGGCAAUGAUCACUGCAGUAACCAAGGCACCCUCAUCGACCUUGCUGAAUUGGACACCCCCAGCAGCUCAUCCUCAGUGUCGGCCCCAGCAUCUGCUCCACCCGCCUCAGGCAUUCCUAUCCUCCCUCCACCACCCCAGACCUCUGGACCUCCACGAAGCCGCUCAUCCAGUCAGGCUGAGGCUCCCCCAGGGCCUGACAGCAUGAGCAAUGCCCUAUCCUUGCUAGAUGAGGAGCUGCUCUGCUUGGGCCUGACUGACCCAGCCCCCACUGCUCCCAAAGAGUCAACUGGAAAUAGUCAGUGGCACCUGUUCCAGAAUGAACCAUCAUCAGAUCUGGACUUUUUCAGCCCCAGGCCAAUGCCUGCGGCCUGCUGUCCCUCAGAUGGAUCCCUGCUCCCUCCCCCAGUUUCUACCUCAAGUAUGUCCCAAGCUCCACUGCCUGCUCCCUUCCCAGCUCCUGUGGUCCCAGCCAGUGCACCAGCUCCCAGCCCAGGUUCCUUCAUGUUCUCUUCUGGACCUGCCUCAGCCUCGGUUCCAAAGGCUGAGCCUGCAGCCCCAGAGUACCACAGCUCAGCACUUGGUGACAGCACCUCGCACCACCUAGAUGCCCUUGAUCAGCUUCUGGAAGAGGCCAAAGUGACUUCAGGCUUGGUGAAACCUGUUUCUUGCUUCUCCUCUGGGGCCACUGCCUCCCCAUUGCUUCCCACCUCUGCCCCAGCCAGGCCUCUCCUGCCCUUCUCCACUGGGCCUGGAAGCCCUCUCUUCCAGUCGCCAGCCUUUCAAUCCCAAGGCAGCCCUCUGAGAGGCCCAGAGCUCUCCCUGGCCAAUGUCUAUGUACCCCUGGAAUCGAUCAAGCCUAGCAGUGCCCUUCCUGUGACAGCCUAUGAUAAAAAUGGCUUCCGAAUCCUCUUCCACUUUGCUAAGGAGUGUCCCCCAGGACGGCCUGAUGUGCUUGUGGUGGUGGUGUCCAUGCUGAAUACAGCUCCUCUGCCAGUCAAGAGCAUAGUGCUGCAAGCCGCAGUGCCCAAGUCAAUGAAAGUGAAGUUGCAGCCACCCUCUGGGACAGAACUUUCUCCAUUUAGUCCCAUCCAGCCACCAGCAGCCAUCACCCAGGUCAUGCUGCUGGCCAAUCCAAUGAAGGAGAAGGUGCGGCUUCGGUAUAAACUGACCUUUGCUCUGGGGGAGCAGCUGAGCACAGAGCUGGGUGAAGUGGACCAGUUUCCUCCUGUGGAGCAGUGGGGUAACCUAUGACCCUAGCAAAUGCUGUCAUCUCCACUUGGAAGCAGGCAGCCCUGAGACAGGCUCUGGCGGGUCCAGCCACUGUACCCUCUGGGCAGUGCUUACAGCUUGGUGUGGACCAGGGUCCUGGGUGUCCCUGUCGGAGCCAAGCUGCUGCUUUGAUCAUCUCUUCUGGGCCCCUAAAUGGACCUGUUUUACCUACCUGUGUGACUUGAAGUGACCGUACUGUGUGGGUGGGGAGUCGCUUGUGGCUUCACUGGCUGCCUUGGGGUGGUAGACUCUGGACGUGGAGUAGGUUUUCCCCUUUUUUACUGGCAUCCCUUGAUACCAGGGAGAGGACUCUUAAAGAGCACCUCUCCAAUCCCCUCAAGAACUGCAUCUUUACACCCUGAAGAGGCGUGGGUUGGGAGACUAUAUCUCCCAUUGGCGUUCCAUGCUUCUUUACUAACAAGCACUGCUGCUGCCCUGAAGUGGGCAGCAGUGGCCCAGAGUGAGAAAUCUGGAGUACUGUGGUCUUCACUGUGGGCUUCGGCAACAGCACCCGGAAGUGGCUGCUGAGUGAGUGAUGUGCUUGUCCUGGCAGUGGAAGGUUGUGUCCUAUGGACAUGUCAGCAGGACAGGGAACUUGGCCCGAGAGCCUCAACUAGGGAUAGGAAGGAAGAUGGAAGUGCCAGUGUUUCCCCUCACAAGCAGUGCUGUGCCUCAGCUAGCAAGACCCAGCUGCUCCAGGCCAGAGAUUUUCAAGACUACAGGGAAGUCUGCUGCCUUCGAGAAAAAGGAAGGUGACACAACUGUAUCCCCUGGUCCCCUACAUCUUGGGAGCAUCCUUGCUCUGGCUAGAGGUCGUCUGACCGCCCUCCCAGCUACUGUCCUUAGUUAGCAGGUUUUACAGUUUUCCUUAGGACAGGUCAAAAUCUUCUCACUGAUGAUGGAAUAAAUCCAAGAGCUUUCCAGAAACUGGUUACUUCAGCCUUGGAAUAGCUAUGGAAUAGCUAUUACUGUCAAUGCAUACCUUCAUUAAUCUUUAAACACGAAAUUAUGAGUGUUGCUCAUUACUGAGGUCACCUACUUAAUGGCCAACAGCUGUACUGGAUGUACCACCCUCCUGCCCUUGUUUUGCUGCAUGUGAAAUAAAACUAUUUUAACCCUG